ACGAACGCUGGCGGCGUGCUUAACCCAUGCCAGUCGCACGGAAAGGCCCUGCUUGCAGGGUACUCGAGUGGCGAACGGGUGAGUAACACGUGGGUGAUCUGCCCUGCACUUCGGGAUAAGCCUGGGAAACUGGGUCUAAUACCGGAUAGGAGCCAUUUUUAGUGUGAUGGUUGGAAAGUUUUUUCGGUGUAGGAUGAGCUCGCGGCCUAUCAGCUUGUUGGUGGGGUAAUGGCCUACCAAGGCGGCGACGGGUAGCCGGCCUGAGAGGGUGGACGGCCACAUUGGGACUGAGAUACGGCCCAGACUCCUACGGGAGGCAGCAGUGGGGAAUAUUGCACAAUGGGCGCAAGCCUGAUGCAGCGACGCCGCGUGGGGGAUGACGGCCUUCGGGUUGUAAACUCCUUUCGCUAGGGACGAAGCUUUUUGUGACGGUACCUAGAUAAGAAGCACCGGCUAACUACGUG
Molecule: ribosomal RNA, 464 nt
Filed under: uncultured bacterium
Lineage: Bacteria
Description: partial 16S ribosomal RNA
Rfam family: Bacterial small subunit ribosomal RNA
Source: RNAcentral